AGCAGGUCCCAAGGGUUGGGCUGUUCGCCCAUUAAAGCGGUACGCGAGCUGGGUUCAGAACGUCGUGAGACAGUUCGGUCCCUAUCUUCUACAUCCGAAGGAACUUUGAGGGAUGCUGUCUUUAGUACGAGAGGACCGAGACGGACGUAGCUCUGGUGUGCCAGUUGUACCGCCAGGUGCAUGGCUGGUUAGCCACCUACGGAAGGGAUAAACGCUGAAAGCAUCUAAGUGUGAAACCCGUCCCAAGAUAAGAGUUCCCAUGCGGUUAACGCAGUAAGGCCCGUGGCGAGACCACCACGUUGAUAGGCCGGAAGUGGAAGCGCGGCGACGCGCGGAGCUGACCGGUACUAAUCGGCCGAGGGCUUGGAU
RNAcentral lists this ribosomal RNA (369 nucleotides) under Acidimicrobiia bacterium. RNAcentral describes it as "partial 23S ribosomal RNA". It matches the Rfam family "Bacterial large subunit ribosomal RNA", at positions 2557 to 2925 of the family's 2925-position model. The record is from RNAcentral. Lineage: Bacteria; Bacillati; Actinomycetota; Acidimicrobiia.